GGUAAGUCCGCAACGAGCGCAACCCUCGACCUUAGUUGCCAGCAUUCAGUUGGGCACUCUAAGGUGACUGCCGGCAAAAGUCGGAGGAAGGUGGGGAUGACGUCAAAUCAUCAUGCCCCUUAUGACCUGGGCACACACGUGCUACAAUGGGCGGUACAAAGGGUCGCGAACCCGCGAGGGGAGCCAAUCCCAAAAAGCCGCUCUCAGUUCGGAUUGCAGGCUGCAACUCGCCUGCAUGAAGCCGGAAUCGCUAGUAAUCGCGGAUCCAGCAUGCCGUGGUGAAUACGUUCCCGGGCCUU
RNAcentral lists this ribosomal RNA (299 nucleotides) under uncultured Anoxybacillus sp. RNAcentral's name for it is "partial 16S ribosomal RNA". It matches the Rfam family "Bacterial small subunit ribosomal RNA", at positions 1079 to 1382 of the family's 1533-position model. Lineage: Bacteria; Bacillati; Bacillota; Bacilli; Caryophanales; Anoxybacillaceae. The record is from RNAcentral.